CCACAUACACACACUGCCCCCCCCCCCAUCUCCCUCUCAUCCCCACUGCCUGGCAUGCAAUCACAACCUACAUUACAAUGCAGUGGUGGAACUAAAGUAGAGAGAUAACUUUUUUGGGGCCCUGCUUUUGCAGGGGGGGGGCCAAAAGGUCGAUCCCCAUCUGUCAUGCAACUCCAACAAUGCUUUGACUGCUGGGACUCUACAAUUUUCGCAUGCUUGCUGGGUUGUAUUUAGCACCGAACAGUGUUUGUGUUUUUGAAUGUAAGCAUGGUUUUGUAUGGAGUAUGUGUGAGUGAAUGUAAACAUGGCUUUGUAUGGAGUAUGUGUGUGAAUAUAGGGGUGUGUUUUUAUGUAGUGUUGGCAUUUGAAUGCAGGGGUGUUUUUAUAUUUAAUUUUGUUUUUUGACACAGAAGUGUGUUUGUAUGUAGUGUUAAAGUUUUAAUGCAGGAGUGUGUUUGUGUGUAGUGCAGAUAUUCAGACACACACACUGACACAGAUACAUGCACACAGAUGCACAACCUGACACACAUGCAGAUACACACACACAAAUACGCACACUGCUUACAUAUAGAUACACACAAUGACAACAUACAGAUACACUGACACACAUAUAGAUACACAACCUGACACACAUGUAGAUAGACAGAUACAAACACUGACACACAUGUAUAUACACAGGCAAACAGAUACACAGAUACACACUGACUAUAUACAGAUGCACCCAUAUACACACUGACACCUACACACACACAGAUACACACAUUGACAACAUGCAGAUACACAGACACAUACUGAUACAUAUACUAACAGACACAUAUACUGAAAAACAUACUGACACAUACACUGACUGACACACUGACAAACACAUAUACACACGAACACAUAUACACAGACACAUAUACUGACCCAUAAACUGACAGACAUACUGACAGACACACACACACUCAGACACACUGACACACACAUACAUUAAAAGACAUACUGACAGACACACUCCUAUACACACACAGUAACACAUACACUGACAGAGAUACUGGCACACACUAACACACACACAAUACACUGACAGACAUACUGGCACACACUAACACACACACAAUACACUGACAGACAUACUGGCACACUCAGACACACAUGCACAUUCUACACAUUGAUAUCCACCCUCCAGUUUCUUACUUUUUUGCUAGAGGCUGGCUUCCCUGGGGUCCAGGAUGCUGACUGGGGUGGCUGGGAGUUAGGAUCCAGGUCUCUCGGCCUGGCCCCUUUCCACACUGCUUGAAUAGGGCGGGUUGUUAUCAUGCUGUGAGGUUUUUGAAAAUGGCAGAUAGGAGGAGAAGAGAAGACAAGGAGGUCAUUGUAAAAAAAGUAUAUAAUUAAUUAAUAUAACCGGUUAGUAAAUAGUUGCAUGAUGAUGAUUGCUAUUUCUUUCUCCAGUUACGAACUCCAGUAAAACUGAAUGAUGUAUUAAUGGAUCAUGUAAGCUACACCCUUUGUUUGGACUGGGUAAGCUUCUAAGAGAACGCAGUGGCAAAAAUCAGUUUAAUGCAUUUGCUUCUCAAAAAUAGCCAAUAGCGUUUCGUGUGUGUAUAUCAAAGAACUUGAUCCUCCCCUCCUUCCUAGAUGCCAAAAUUUAAUUAUUAAAUUGAAUUACUGUGAGCUAUAGCUAUGGAGCUCUGUGAUUCAUAAACACCACAUCUUACUGUGAGUUUUAUUAGUGUGAAGCUCUGUGAUACACUCAUACUGCAAUUUACUGUGAGUUUUAUUGCUAGGGAGCUCUGUAAUACACUCAUACAAACUGUACUUUACUGUGAGUUUUAUUGCUGGGGAGCUCUGUAAUACACUCAUACAAACUGUACUUUACUGUGAGUUUUAUUGCUGGGGAGCUCUGUAAUACACUCAUACAAACUGUACUUUACUGUGAGUUUUAUUGCUGGGGAGCUCUUUAAUACACUCAUACAUACUGCAAUUUACUGUGAGUUUUAUUGCUGGGGAGCUCUGUGAUACGCUCAUACAAACUGUACUUUACUGUGAGUUUUAUUGCUGGGGAGCUCUUUAAUACACUCAUACAUACUGCAAUUUACUGUGAGUUUUAUUGCUGGGGAGCUCUGUGAUACGCUCAUACAAACUGUACUUUACUGUGAGUUUUAUUGCUGGGGAGCUCUUUAAUACACUCAUACAUACUGCAAUUUACUGUGAGUUUUAUUGCUGGGGAGCUCUGUGAUACGCUCAUACAAACUGUACUUUACUGUGAGUUUUAUUGGUGUGGGGCUCUGUGAUACACUCAUACACGCUGUACUUUACUGUGAGUUUUAGGCACUUAAUGUACAAAGAAAUCUACAUGUUUAGUGUGUGAAUUAAGAGGAUUGAAAGGUGCUGCAGAUUACCCAG
Pelobates cultripes (western spadefoot toad) is the source of this 2388-nucleotide non-coding RNA. Lineage: Eukaryota; Metazoa; Chordata; Amphibia; Anura; Pelobatidae. The record is from the annotation of a GenBank genome assembly.